This is a non-coding RNA of Acanthosepion pharaonis, 99 nucleotides long. The record is from the annotation of a GenBank genome assembly. Lineage: Eukaryota; Metazoa; Mollusca; Cephalopoda; Sepiida; Sepiidae.
GUGAAAACACCCAUUCUAUUUCGAUCACCCAAGUUAAGUAGUGUCGAGCCUGGUCAGUACUUAAAUAGGUGACCGCUUGGGAACACCGGGUGCUGUAAU